RNAcentral lists this ribosomal RNA (469 nucleotides) under uncultured bacterium. Its description in RNAcentral is "partial 16S ribosomal RNA". It matches the Rfam family "Bacterial small subunit ribosomal RNA", at positions 28 to 507 of the family's 1533-position model. The record is from RNAcentral.
GACGAACGCUGGCGGCGUGCUUAACACAUGCAAGUCGAACGGAAAGGCCCUGCUUGCAGGGUGCUCGAGUGGCGAACGGGUGAGUAACACGUGGGUGAUCUGCCCCUUACUUUGGGAUAAGCCUGGGAAACUGGGUCUAAUACUGGAUAGGACCAUGCUGUAGGUGGUGUGGUGGAAAGAUUAGUUUCGGUAAGGGAUGAGCUCGCGGCCUAUCAGCUUGUUGGUGGGGUAAUGGCCUACCAAGGCGUCGACGGGUAGCCGGCCCGAGAGGGUGGACGGCCACAUUGGGACUGAGAUACGGCCCAGACUCCUACGGGAGGCAGCAGUGGGGAAUAUUGCACAAUGGGCGCAAGCCUGAUGCAGCGACGCCGCGGGGGGGAUGACGGCCUUCGGGUUGUAAACUCCUUUCAGCCAUGACGAAGCCCUUGUGGUGACGGUAGUGGUAGAAGAAGCACCGGCUAACUACGUG